CUCAACCGUAAGGAGGGGGAUGCCUAAGGCAGGGCUAGUGACUGGGGUGAAGUCGUAACAAGGUAGCCGUACCGGAAGGUGUGGCUGGAUCACCUCCUUAAAGGGAGACCUAAUUCGGGUAUAAGACGAAAAAAUAGUAGUCGAAACCAAGAAUCAAUCCCAAAAGGUCGGAACGAGGUAUGUGGCUUUCAAACUAGGUUCUGGGUUCACACAAGACCUGAAUCAGGAACAAGGGCUAUUAGCUCAGGUGGUUAGAGCGCACCCCUGAUAAGGGUGAGGUCCCUGGUUCGAGUCCAGGAUGGCCCACCUGCCCAGGUGGCAAAAACAAAGAAGAGAAGCUCCGAAUCAGCACCUUAUCUUAUCUAUAGAUAAGAGAGAAUGCUGGCUCUGAGUUCAGAGUCCAGAGGAACCUUGAGAACUGCAUAGAGCUAGGUGAAAAAGCCAAAAAAGAAGACCGCAAGGUCAAGCUAAUAAGGGCUAACGGUG
This 486-nucleotide small RNA is filed under the name uncultured Microcystis sp. RNAcentral's name for it is "bacterial LSU rRNA". The stretch from base 1 to 100 matches the Rfam family "Bacterial small subunit ribosomal RNA", at positions 1434 to 1533 of the family's 1533-position model. Lineage: Bacteria; Bacillati; Cyanobacteriota; Cyanophyceae; Chroococcales; Microcystaceae. The record is from RNAcentral.